Molecule: unclassified non-coding RNA, 25 nt
Filed under: Dictyostelium discoideum
Lineage: Eukaryota; Evosea; Eumycetozoa; Dictyosteliales; Dictyosteliaceae
Source: RNAcentral
GGUUGAGGCUUCUCCAUUAGUUCUU